UGCUAUAAAGGAGACCAAAAGAGGACCCCCAAGAUGGUAUGCAAUAACUCUACCUCUUAUGCUCCUCCUUCUGUUGGAUGAGAUUUUGACUUGAGCAUUAGAGGAUCCUCGUUGGAACCAUCUCCGACUUGAAUAUUUUUGCAGGUCGCAUGCAUGGGAGGCCCACCUUAUCAUCAACUCUAGUGUCCCAACAUCAAGCAAUUUCUCACACCAAUAGAUUGGCAUUGGAGGAAGUGCAUUGAUCCAUUUUUGGAGGAGCG
RNAcentral lists this long non-coding RNA (260 nucleotides) under Elaeis guineensis (African oil palm). RNAcentral's name for it is "long non-coding RNA (EGUI_LNC050504)". Lineage: Eukaryota; Viridiplantae; Streptophyta; Magnoliopsida; Arecales; Arecaceae. The record is from RNAcentral.